Long non-coding RNA from Fukomys damarensis (Damara mole-rat), 461 nucleotides. RefSeq lists it as uncharacterized. Lineage: Eukaryota; Metazoa; Chordata; Mammalia; Rodentia; Bathyergidae. The record is from RefSeq and is a predicted model, not a curated record. The transcript has 4 exons.
CGAGCAGAUUAAGACACGACCAGGAAAUGAGACUACCUCAGAAUCUUUAAGAAAGUCCCUUUCACUAAGUUGUGGCUCUGCUGAAGGUCAAAAUGGGCCAAAGGAUUUCUAUAGAAAGGUAUCCUAGAUACCUCUGUGGUACACUAGUACUCUGGUCCUGAGUUUUCAAGAGGGAAGUGUGUAUUGGUUUUCUUCCAGUAUCGUGGAGCAGAUGAAGCCUGUUGAAAUUUAAUUUUCAGAAAGGUGCUCAGAGCUAUGACUUUGCCUUCAAUCUCAGAGAAUUUGGAUUUGGACUUUUCAGCACUGCUGAAACUGUUAAAACUGGAAACUGUGAUUUAAAAUGUAGGAAGAUUGUUCAGAAAUGUUUGGAGAACAAAAGAACGGGGGAAGAUGAAACAGCAAUAAAUUGAAAUCUAAUUGCAGUGAUUAUAUUAUUAGUAAGGACAAUAUUGUUAUUCUAA